AAUAGAUAGAGGAUAAUAGAUAGAGGGUAAUAGAUAGAGGAUAAUAGAUAGAGGGUAAUAGAUAGAGGGUAAUAGAUAGAGAAUAAUAGAGGGUAAUAGAUAGAGGGUAAUAGAUAGAGGGUAAUAGAGGGUAAUAGAUAGAGGGUAAUAGAGGGUAAUAGAUAGAGGGUAAUAGAUAGAGGAUAAUAGAUAGAGGGUAAUAGAUAGAGGGUAAUAGAUAGAGGAUAAUAGAUAGAGGAUAAUAGAUAGAGGGUAAUAGAUAGAGGGUAAUAGAUAGAGAAUAAUAGAGGGUAAUAGAUAGAGGGUAAUAGAUAGAGGGUAAUAGAGGAUAAUAGAUAGAGGGGAAUAGAUAGAGGAUAAUAGAGGGUAAUAGAUAGAGGGUAAUAGAUAGAGGGUAAUAGAUAGAGUAUAAUAGAGGGUAACAGAUAGAGGGUAAUAGAUAGAGUGUAACAGAUAGAGGGUAAUAGAUAGAGGAUAAUAGAUUGAGGGUAACAGAUAGAGGCUAAUAGAGGGUAAUAGAUAGAGGAUAAUAGAGGGUAAUAGAUAGAGGAUAAUAGAUAGAGGAUAAUAGAUAGAGGGUAAUAGAGGGUAAUAGAUAGAGGGUAAUAGAUAGAGGAUAAUAGAUAGAGGGUAAUAGAUAGAGGAUAAUAGAGGGUAAUAGAUAGAGGGUAAUAGAUAGAGGGUAAUAGAUAGAGGAUAAUAGAUAGAGGUAAUAGAUAGAGGGUAAUAGAUAGAGGGUAAUAGAUAGAGGGUAAUAGAUAGAGGGUAAUAGAUAGAGGAUAAUAGAUAGAGGGUAAUAGAUAGAGGAUAAUAGAUAGAGGGUAAUAGAUAGAGGGUAAUAGAGGGUAAUAGAUAGAGGGUAAUAGAGGGUAAUAGAUAAAGUAUAAUAGAGG
Molecule: long non-coding RNA, 893 nt
Organism: Oncorhynchus tshawytscha (Chinook salmon)
Lineage: Eukaryota; Metazoa; Chordata; Actinopteri; Salmoniformes; Salmonidae
Source: Ensembl